GGGAAUGUGGCUCAGUGGUAGAGCGCUUGCCUAGCAUGCAUGAAGCCCUGGGUUCCAUUCCUC
Non-coding RNA from Dipodomys ordii (Ord's kangaroo rat), 63 nucleotides. Lineage: Eukaryota; Metazoa; Chordata; Mammalia; Rodentia; Heteromyidae. The record is from Rfam.